CAGCAGCCACGGGAAUACGAAGGGUGCAAGCGUUAAUCGGAAUUACUGGGCGUAAAGCGUGCGUAGGCGGUGAGUUAAGUCUGCUGUGAAAUCCCCGGGCUCAACCUGGGAAUGGCAGUGGAUACUGGCAAGCUAGAGUGUGUCAGAGGAUGGUGGAAUUCCCGGUGUAGCGGUGAAAUGCGUAGAGAUCGGGAGGAACACCAGUGGCGAAGGCGGCCAACUGGUCCGACACUGACGCUGAGGUGCGAAAGCGUGGGGAGCAAACAGGAUUAGAUACCCCAGUAGUCCCUGUCUCUUAUAC
Molecule: ribosomal RNA, 301 nt
Filed under: uncultured bacterium
Lineage: Bacteria
Description: partial 16S ribosomal RNA
Rfam family: Bacterial small subunit ribosomal RNA
Source: RNAcentral